Molecule: ribosomal RNA, 519 nt
Filed under: Bacillus amyloliquefaciens
Lineage: Bacteria; Bacillati; Bacillota; Bacilli; Caryophanales; Bacillaceae
Description: bacterial SSU rRNA
Rfam family: Bacterial small subunit ribosomal RNA
Source: RNAcentral
UAAGACUGGGAUAACUCCGGGAAACCGGGGCUAAUACCGGAUGGUUGUUUGACCCGCAUGGUUCAGACAUAAAAGGUGGCUUCGGCUACCACUUACAGAUGGACCCGCGGCGCAUUAGCUAGUUGGUGAGGUAACGGCUCACCAAGGCGACGAUGCGUAGCCGACCUGAGAGGGUGAUCGGCCACACUGGGACUGAGACACGGCCCAGACUCCUACGGGAGGCAGCAGUAGGGAAUCUUCCGCAAUGGACGAAAGUCUGACGGAGCAACGCCGCGUGAGUGAUGAAGGUUUUCGGAUCGUAAAGCUCUGUUGUUAGGGAAGAACAAGUGCCGUUCAAAUAGGGCGGCACCUUGACGGUACCUAACCAGAAAGCCACGGCUAACUACGUGCCAGCAGCCGCGGUAAUACGUAGGUGGCAAGCGUUGUCCGGAAUUAUUGGGCGUAAAGGGCUAGCAGGCGGUUUCUUAAGUCUGAUGUGAAAGCCCCCGGCUCAACCGGGGAGGCACACUUGAAACUUGG